Molecule: ribosomal RNA, 257 nt
Filed under: uncultured bacterium
Lineage: Bacteria
Description: partial small subunit ribosomal RNA
Rfam family: Bacterial small subunit ribosomal RNA
Source: RNAcentral
AGGACGAACGCUGGCGGCGUGCUUAACACAUGCAAGUCGAGCGAGGCGCCUUCUUCGGAAGGUGUCCUAGCGGCGAACGGGUGAGUAACACGUGGGCAACCUGCCCUCAGCACUGGGAUAACUCCGGGAAACCGGGGCUAAUACCGGAUAUGACUCUGGUUGACAUCAACCGGGUGGAAAGAAUUUUGGCUGAGGAUGGGCCCGCGGCCUAUCAUGCUUGAUGGUGAGGUAACGGCCCACCAUGGCGACGACGGGUA